UUCAUGGAACAUUGAACUCUAGAUGCCAUG
Molecule: non-coding RNA, 30 nt
Filed under: Mus musculus (house mouse)
Lineage: Eukaryota; Metazoa; Chordata; Mammalia; Rodentia; Muridae
Source: RNAcentral